Molecule: ribosomal RNA, 253 nt
Filed under: uncultured bacterium
Lineage: Bacteria
Description: partial 16S ribosomal RNA
Rfam family: Bacterial small subunit ribosomal RNA
Source: RNAcentral
UACGUAGGGUCCGAGCGUUGUCCGGAAUUAUUGGGCGUAAAGGGCUCGUAGGCGGUCUGUUGCGUCGGGAGUGAAAUCUUACAGCUUAACUGUGAACUUGCUUUCGAUACGGGCAGACUUGAGGUAUUCAGGGGAGAACGGAAUUCCUGGUGUAGCGGUGAAAUGCGCAGAUAUCAGGAAGAACACCUAUGGCGAAGGCAGCUCUCUGGGACGGUACUGACGCUGAGACGCGAAAGCGUGGGGAGCGAACAGG